This is a non-coding RNA of Dipodomys ordii (Ord's kangaroo rat), 70 nucleotides long. The record is from Rfam. Lineage: Eukaryota; Metazoa; Chordata; Mammalia; Rodentia; Heteromyidae.
GGGAAUGUGACUCAGUGGUAGAGGUCUUGCCUUGCAUGCAUGAGGCCCUGGGUUCGAUUCCUCAGUACCA